UUUACACUAGAAAUGGGGAUGCAAUUGGAUCAACCGGGUUAGGUAAAUCUGGAUCGAAUCACCUGAUUCCUGGGUGCAUAUAAAAACCCCUGAAUCAGAAUCAGAGUGAUUUCACUUAUCGGGUUUUCACCUUUCCCAUCCUUCGAACACAGGCUUCUGAAUACCGAACGUGGAUUGAGGGAUUAGCUUCGUCGAUCGACUGAAGAAAGGGGUGUUUUCCAGAUUGUAG
Molecule: long non-coding RNA, 229 nt
Organism: Macadamia integrifolia
Lineage: Eukaryota; Viridiplantae; Streptophyta; Magnoliopsida; Proteales; Proteaceae
Exons: 2
Source: RefSeq, a predicted model, not a curated record